Molecule: ribosomal RNA, 398 nt
Filed under: uncultured bacterium
Lineage: Bacteria
Description: bacterial SSU rRNA
Rfam family: Bacterial small subunit ribosomal RNA
Source: RNAcentral
GGGAAUAUUGGACAAUGGGCGAAAGCCUGAUCCAGCAAUGCCGCGUGAGUGAUGAAGGCCUUAGGGUUGUAAAGCUCUUUUACCCGGGAUGAUAAUGACAGUACCGGGAGAAUAAGCUCCGGCUAACUCCGUGCCAGCAGCCGCGGUAAUACGGAGGGAGCUAGCGUUGUUCGGAAUUACUGGGCGUAAAGCGCACGUAGGCGGCUUUGUAAGUCAGAGGUGAAAGCCUGGAGCUCAACUCCAGAACUGCCUUUGAGACUGCAUCGCUUGAAUCCGGGAGAGGUGAGUGGAAUUCCGAGUGUAGAGGUGAAAUUCGUAGAUAUUCGGAAGAACACCAGUGGCGAAGGCGGCUCACUGGACCGGUAUUGACGCUGAGGUGCGAAAGCGUGGGGAGCAAA